RNAcentral lists this ribosomal RNA (498 nucleotides) under uncultured bacterium. RNAcentral describes it as "partial 16S ribosomal RNA". It matches the Rfam family "Bacterial small subunit ribosomal RNA", at positions 30 to 523 of the family's 1533-position model. The record is from RNAcentral.
AUUGAACGCUGGCGGCAUGCUUUACACAUGCAAGUCGAACGGUAACAGGCCGCAAGGUGCUGACGAGUGGCGAACGGGUGAGUAAUGCAUCGGAACGUGCCCAGUCGUGGGGGAUAACGCAGCGAAAGCUGUGCUAAUACCGCAUACGAUCUAUGGAUGAAAGCGGGGGACCGUAAGGCCUCGCGCGAUUGGAGCGGCCGAUGUCAGAUUAGGUAGUUGGUGGGGUAAAGGCUCACCAAGCCAACGAUCUGUAGCUGGUCUGAGAGGACGACCAGCCACGCUGGGACUGAGACACGGCCCAGACUCCUACGGGAGGCAGCAGUGGGGAAUUUUGGACAAUGGGCGCAAGCCUGAUCCAGCAAUGCCGCGUGCAGGAAGAAGGCCUUCGGGUUGUAAACUGCUUUUGUACGGAACGAAAAGGUCUGGGUUAAUACCCUGGGCACAUGACGGUACCGUAAGAAUAAGCACCGGCUAACUACGUGCCAGCCGCCGCAGUAA